AGUGAACGCUGGCGGUAGGCCUAACACAUGCAAGUCGAACGGCAGCACAGUAAGAGCUUGCUCUUACGGGUGGCGAGUGGCGGACGGGUGAGGAAUACAUCGGAAUCUACUUUUUCGUGGGGGAUAACGUAGGGAAACUUACGCUAAUACCGCAUACGACCUACGGGUGAAAGCAGGGGAUCUUCGGACCUUGCGCGAUUGAAUGAGCCGAUGUCGGAUUAGCUAGUUGGCGGGGUAAAGGCCCACCAAGGCGACGAUUCGUAGCUGGUCUGAGAGGAUGAUCAGCCACACUGGAACUGAGACACGGUCCAGACUCCUACGGGAGGCAGCAGUGGGGAAUAUUGGACAAUGGGCGCAAGCCUGAUCCAGCCAUACCGCGUGGGUGAAGAAGGCCUUCGGGUUGUAAAGCCCUUUUGUUGGGAAAGAAAAGCAGCAGGUUAAUACCCCGCUGUUCUGACGGUACCCAAAGAAUAAGCACCGGCUAACUUCG
Molecule: ribosomal RNA, 490 nt
Filed under: uncultured bacterium
Lineage: Bacteria
Description: partial 16S ribosomal RNA
Rfam family: Bacterial small subunit ribosomal RNA
Source: RNAcentral